GAAAUAGACUAAAGAUUAAGAGGGUUUUAUAGAUUAAUUAAAGUUUUUAAUGGGUUUUGGAUGAUCUAAAUACCGCAAAAGUAGGAUUCGAUCAACUGCAACAUUCUUUGUUUCACUCGAAAGAGAUUUUAAAUGAUAUUAGAAUUGGUGUCUUUUAAAUUCAUGAAUUUAAUAAAUUGAACUAGUUGGUGAUAAUCCUGAAUCUACUUGAAU
This 213-nucleotide unclassified non-coding RNA is filed under the name Hevea brasiliensis (rubber tree). Lineage: Eukaryota; Viridiplantae; Streptophyta; Magnoliopsida; Malpighiales; Euphorbiaceae. The record is from RNAcentral.